Molecule: ribosomal RNA, 856 nt
Filed under: uncultured Bacteroidota bacterium
Lineage: Bacteria; Pseudomonadati; Bacteroidota
Description: bacterial SSU rRNA
Rfam family: Bacterial small subunit ribosomal RNA
Source: RNAcentral
CGGUACUGCAGGAAUAAGCAUCGGCUAACUCCGUGCCAGCAGCCGCGGUAAUACGGAGGAUGCAAGCGUUAUCCGGAUUCAUUGGGUUUAAAGGGUGCGCAGGCGGUGGAGCAAGUCAGUGGUGAAAGCCCGGAGCUCAACUUCGGGAUUGCCAUUGAAACUGUUUCACUUGAGUGUAGUCGAGGACGGCGGAAUGAGUUGUGUAGCGGUGAAAUGCAUAGAUAUAACUCAGAACACCAAUUGCGAAGGCAGCUGUCUAGACUACAACUGACGCUGAGGCACGAAAGCGUGGGGAGCGAACAGGAUUAGAUACCCUGGUAGUCCACGCUGUAAACGAUGAUCACUCGUUGUUGGCUACUUGGUAGUCAGUGACUAAGGGAAACCAUUAAGUGAUCCACCUGGGGAGUACGUCGGCAACGAUGAAACUCAAAGGAAUUGACGGGGGCCCGCACAAGCGGAGGAACAUGUGGUUUAAUUCGAUGAUACGCGAGGAACCUUACCUGGGCUUAAAUGCAGGCUGCAUUCCCGUGAAAGCGGGAUUUCCUACGGGACUGCCUGCAAGGUGCUGCAUGGUUGUCGUCAGCUCGUGCCGUGAGGUGUCGGGUUAAGUCCCAUAACGAGCGCAACCCCUAUCGCUAGUUGCCAGCAUGUAAUGGUGGGGACUCUAGCGAGACUGCCGGUGUAAACCGGAGGAAGGUGGGGACGACGUCAAAUCAGCACGGCCCUUACGUCCAGGGCUACACACGUGUUACAAUGGCCGGUACAAAGAGCAGCCACCUGGCGACAGGGUGCUAAUCUCCAAAGCCGGUCUCAGUUCGGAUCGAAGUCUGCAAUUCGACUUCGUGAAGGUGGAUUC